Molecule: ribosomal RNA, 109 nt
Filed under: Candidatus Moraniibacteriota bacterium
Lineage: Bacteria; Candidatus Moraniibacteriota
Source: RNAcentral
UCCGGUGCCUCUAGCGAUAGGGUCACACCUGAUCCCAUACCGAACUCAGCAGUUAAGCCUAUCAGCGCUGAUGGUAGCCUUCAGUGGCAAGAGUAAGUCGGUGCCGGGA